Molecule: ribosomal RNA, 354 nt
Filed under: Triticum aestivum (bread wheat)
Lineage: Eukaryota; Viridiplantae; Streptophyta; Magnoliopsida; Poales; Poaceae
Description: partial small subunit ribosomal RNA
Source: RNAcentral
AUGAACAAAUUAACUUCAUGUACUGCCGAGACAAGUUUGUAUAUCCUUUUACAAAUGAGAGUGAUUCUUCUACACCCACUCUCGGUGCACCCACGGUGCACCCACGCAAGAAAACAUAUCAAAACAUUUCGAAAAAAUUUGAAACUUCGUGGAAAUGAUCAUCAACAAAUGUUAUGGGGGCUUACAAAAUUUGGUGGUCAAAUAACAUCCGAGGAGCUCUCUACAAAAAAGACAAAAUCACUGAAAAUUAGUCAAAAUGUACGUGCACUGUUUGAGCAGAUUUUGCAAUUUUGUCUUUUUUGUAGGGCACUUCUCGAAUGUUAUUUGACCACCAAACUUUGCAAGCCCUCAUGA